GAUGAACGCUGGCGGUAGGCCUAACACAUGCAAGUCGAACGGCAGCACAGGAGAGCUUGCUCUCUGGGUGGCGAGUGGCGGACGGGUGAGGAAUACAUCGGAAUCUACUUUUUCGUGGGGGAUAACGUAGGGAAACUUACGCUAAUACCGCAUACGACCUACGGGUGAAAGCAGGGGAUCUUCGGACCUUGCGCGAUUGAAUGAGCCGAUGUCGGAUUAGCUAGUUGGCGGGGUAAAGGCCCACCAAGGCGACGAUCCGUAGCUGGUCUGAGAGGAUGAUCAGCCACACUGGAACUGAGACACGGUCCAGACUCCUACGGGAGGCAGCAGUGGGGAAUAUUGGACAAUGGGCGCAAGCCUGAUCCAGCCAUACCGCGUGGGUGAAGAAAGCCUUCGGGUUGUAAAGCCCUUUUGUUGGGAAAGAAAU
Molecule: ribosomal RNA, 427 nt
Filed under: Stenotrophomonas sp. 398(2010)
Lineage: Bacteria; Pseudomonadati; Pseudomonadota; Gammaproteobacteria; Lysobacterales; Lysobacteraceae
Description: bacterial SSU rRNA
Rfam family: Bacterial small subunit ribosomal RNA
Source: RNAcentral